Molecule: long non-coding RNA, 357 nt
Filed under: Musa acuminata (dwarf banana)
Lineage: Eukaryota; Viridiplantae; Streptophyta; Magnoliopsida; Zingiberales; Musaceae
Description: long non-coding RNA (MACU_LNC009792)
Source: RNAcentral
UCCUACAUGAAUGCCCCUCUCAAUUAGGACUCUCCUAGCUAGAGUCCUAACAGAAUGUCCCUCUCAAUUAGAACUCUCCUAGCUAGAGUCCUAAUAGUUUUACAUGAAUGUCCCUCUCAAUUAGGACUCUCCAAGCUAGAGUCCUAACAGACCUGCCCUCUUCAAAUCAGCCUUGUCCUCGAGGCUGAUGAUUCGUGAAUUCUGGGAAUUUGAUCUUCAAGUCGUCAUAGUUCUCCCAAGUGGCAUCUUCUAUUGGUAGGUUCGCCCACUGUAUUAGCACUUCAUUAGUGGGUCGUCGUCGUCGAGUCAUGAUCCGUCGAUCAAUAAUGGCACUUGGCUGGGUCUGGAGUUCUCUUU